Molecule: ribosomal RNA, 443 nt
Filed under: uncultured bacterium
Lineage: Bacteria
Description: partial 16S ribosomal RNA
Rfam family: Bacterial small subunit ribosomal RNA
Source: RNAcentral
CCUACGGGAGGCAGCAGUGAGGAAUAUUGGUCAAUGGGCGCGAGCCUGAACCAGCCAAGUAGCGUGAAGGAAGACUGCCCUACGGGUUGUAAACUUCUUUUGACAGGGAAGAGCAGAAGACGGUACCUGUCGAAUAAGCGACGGCUAACUACGUGCCAGCAGCCGCGGUAAUACGUAGGUGGCAAUCGUUGUGCGGAUUUAAUGGGUGUAAAGGGUGAGUGGGCGGGCUGACAAGUCAGAUGUGAAAUCCCGGGGCUCAACCUCCGAACUGCAUUUGAAACUGUUGGUCUUGAGUGUCGGAGAGGUAGGCGGAAUUCCUAGUGUAGCGGUGAAAUGCGUAGAUAUUAGGAGGAACACCAGUGGCGAAGGCGGCCUGCUGGACGACAACUGACGGUGAGGCGCGAAAGCGUGGGGAGCAAACAGGAUUAGAUACCCGUGUAGUC